UGCUGAGCAUGUGCAAACUGAAACAUCAGUUAUCUUCACUGACCAUGAGGUCAGUUAAUUUUAAUAUAAUGCUGUGCAACAAGGUCUGUAGAAAGCUUUUGGAACAGAUGGAAGGCAGAGAGCAGGUCCUCCAGGACUCACAGCAAGGUAGUAUCUGGUCUCCUUAGCAGCGUCACCUUUUUGUGGAUGGAGUGAGUCAGGGCCCCAUUCCAGGCAGGUGGAAAUUGCCUGCAGUUUCUGUGGCCUCUCUGCUUGGAGGUCAGAGCUGAGUAGACUUUGCAAACUGUCCUGGUCCCCUUAAACUAGCCUGCUGCUUCAGAUGCAGCAAGGUUGCUACCCUGUUACUACUGUUGAAGUGAGGUUCAACUCAUGAUUUAGCCAGCUCUGCAACUGGAGUGGGGUGGGGGAUGGGGUGGACAUCUUAUCAUUUACCUCAGGCAGCAAAAUGUAUUGGACCAACACCCAUGUAGUAGACCAAUGGCCCUAACGUUUCUUUGUCUUGGUUUCUCGAGGAACUUAGUGCAAACAAAACCAACAGAGAUUUCUGCAUUAUUCCUUGAGCCCUGCUAACCUGCUAGAAUCGAGGACCAUUGGCUUUCUUCUUGAGUUCACAGGAGGCCAUUGUAUUUAUGCUCCAUUUGUUGACCCUGGGGCAAGGGGAAGACAUUUGGGACUAAGGACACAAUGGUGCCCCUUUACAGGAAAGGCUGCUAAGUUUACAAAGAAAAGGAACAACUCAUUCAGAAAUAUCAUAUCGAAAGAUCAUUUCAAUAAUUACUCAUGUUGAUGUAUCUUCUGAAAUAGCUCUACACUAGCAUUAGUUGUCAUAAAGUCAUUUCCUAAGAGCCAAAUUUCUAGAACAUCACCAAAGCUACAGAUGUGAAAAAUGAGAAUUCAGAACUGACCCAAAAUUUCUCAAAAGAGAUUUUUCUGGAAUAAAAAUCUGAGAAUAUUUUUGCCCCUUUCUGAAAUGGAGGGCAA
This is a long non-coding RNA of Podarcis raffonei (Aeolian wall lizard), 981 nucleotides long. RefSeq lists it as uncharacterized. The record is from RefSeq and is a predicted model, not a curated record. Lineage: Eukaryota; Metazoa; Chordata; Lepidosauria; Squamata; Lacertidae. The transcript has 4 exons.